ACGGGAGGCAGCAGUGAGGAAUAUUGGUCAAUGGGCGCGAUCCUGAACCAGCCAAGUCGCGUGAGGGAAGACGGUCCUAUGGAUUGUAAACCUCUUUUGUCGGGGAGCAAAAGACGCCACGUGUGGCGUUCCGAGAGUACCCGAAGAAAAAGCAUCGGCUAACUCCGUGCCAGCAGCCGCGGUAAUACGGAGGAUGCGAGCGUUAUCCGGAUUUAUUGGGUUUAAAGGGUGCGCAGGCGGAAGAUCAAGUCAGCGGUAAAAUUGAGAGGCUCAACCUCUUCGAGCCGUUGAAACUGGUUUUCUUGAGUGAGCGAGAAGUAUGCGGAAUGCGUGGUGUAGCGGUGAAAUGCAUAGAUAUCACGCAGAACUCCGAUUGCGAAGGCAGCAUACCGGCGCUCAACUGACGCUCAUGCACGAAAGUGUGGGUAUCGAACAGGAUUAGAUA
Molecule: ribosomal RNA, 445 nt
Filed under: uncultured bacterium
Lineage: Bacteria
Description: bacterial SSU rRNA
Rfam family: Bacterial small subunit ribosomal RNA
Source: RNAcentral